Ostrinia furnacalis (Asian corn borer) is the source of this 2128-nucleotide RNA transcript. It is a transcript of the gene named U2 small nuclear riboprotein auxiliary factor 38, with no coding region annotated. The transcript is spliced from 6 exons. The record is from RefSeq and is a predicted model, not a curated record. Lineage: Eukaryota; Metazoa; Arthropoda; Insecta; Lepidoptera; Crambidae.
ACUUGUCACAUCACUAGUGUUUGGUGGCGGUGUUUGGUGUUGGCUGAAAUGGAGAUUUUUACAUAAAGUUAUUUUAAUGCCAAUCGCUUGUUUAUUUCACAAGAAAUACGUGUUUUUGAUUUAGUAAUUAAUUUAAAACACAGGUACCAACUGUGUGUGGAAUUUCCAUAUUUUGCAUUAAUUUAGAUUGUAGUUUUUAGGUUACUUCUAUCUACAUCGGUCAGAAUGGCAGAGUAUUUAGCGGCUAUAUUUGGUACCGAAAAAGACAAAGUAAAUUGUUCUUUUUACUUCAAGAUAGGAGCAUGUCGUCACGGAGACCGUUGCUCUCGAAUUCACAAUAAGCCUACCUUUUCACAAACUGUCUUACUACAAAAUUUGUAUGUGAACCCCCAAAAUUCUGCUAAAUCUGCAGAUGGAAGUCACUUGGUGGUUGCCAAUGUGUCUGAUGAAGAGAUGCAGGAGCAUUACGACAAUUUCUUUGAAGAUGUUUUUGUCGAAUGUGAAGACAAGUAUGGAGAGAUUGAAGAAAUGAAUGUGUGUGAUAAUCUCGGAGACCAUUUAGUAGGCAAUGUUUACAUUAAAUUCCGUCGCGAGGAGGACGCCGAGAAGGCGGUCAACGACCUGAACAACCGCUGGUUCGGCGGGCGGCCGGUUUACGCCGAGCUGUCGCCCGUCACGGACUUCCGUGAGGCCUGCUGCCGCCAGUACGAGAUGGGCGAGUGUACUAGGAGUGGGUUCUGCAACUUCAUGCAUCUGAAGCCUAUUUCCAGAGAGUUGAGGAGAUACUUGUACUCCCGCCGCAAGGGCGGGCGCCGUUCGCGCAGCCGCUCGCGCGAGCGCCGCCGCCGCUCGCGGUCACGUGGGCGCCGCGAGCCGCCGCGCAACUCGCGCUCGGGCCGCUACUGACCGCCCAGCGCGCCCCUACCCUGAAUACGGACUUCACGUAUACCUGCCUGAACUGUACGUUAAACUAAAAAGUCAGCACUGGAUUAUUUUAAAUUUAAACAGAUGUGUUCAAAUAUUAUCACAAAAUUGCAGUUGAACAUUAGAUAUUUUUAGGGUGAUUUUUUAUAGUCGGCGUAAAUUCAAUCGGAUGGUGUCUUGAACUGUUUUAAUGCGUCUGACACCCGUCUGAUGAUAAUUGGGCGAUUUGAGUCGCGCGUUCUGCCCGAAUGAAUAUAGAACCAUAAUAACAUUAGAGUCCGAUAAGUAAAUGACUUAGAUGCCUUAUAAUAUCAGUAGUAAUAUAAUAAUAUAAUGACUUCCCGUGAUAUAAUUGAUGUCAUCUAAUUUCUGAAUGCAAAAUCUUCUCUGUGUAUUAUCAACUUCUAUUCAAACUAUGUCCAAUGUCUUGUUGAAGAUAGAAGACGACUUUUCUGUCUCGAACACAUGAAAACUAUAAUAUUUUAUUGGACGGGUUGCUUCAAAAGAUUUACAGGUGCCUCAACUGCAAAACAGACCCAGACGAUUGUAUAAUUUACAGUACAUGCACUGAAAAAUCGGAAGCAAUUUUAGUUGUUGGUCGUGUUUCUAGAGUCACAAAGUCAAUAUAUUUUACAGUGCCACAUCUUUUCUUCUUUUCUAUUAUGAACAAAAAUGAAAAUAUUGCUCAUUUUAAAGCAAAUUUGCAAAAUUGUAAAAUACCUACAUAAUUUAACUUUGUUGUGUAAAUGAUAAGAUUUAUUCAUCAGCCAUAUUUGGUCUUGAGUCUGCAAUCCAAUAAAUAUUUGGUUUAAUAUUACAUAUUUUUAAAAUCAAUUUAGCUAAAUACUGUAAUUCCUCUAAAAUUUAUCUAAAACAGAGAUUUGUUGGUGUUUUUUAUAGUUUCAUAGUAUUAUUUGUACUUUCCAAUGCAGUACACCAUCUUGUUGCUAAAAUCGAAAUGUACUAUUGUAUGUUGUACGCAGAUUUAGGGCAGAGUAUCUUUAUUGAAUGUUUUGAUUGAUGUGAAUGUUCGUAUAUACUGCAAUAACGCAUAUUUAUUAGAAAAUAUACAAUAGUGUUCAUAACACUAUAUUAUUUUCUUAGUUAUGUCUCAUUUAAAAAUAAUGUAAGGUUUUAAUAUACGGUAUGUCGUCUAGAUGAAUUGGUGCGAUAUUGCAGUAUUUGUAAGGGAUGACUAUUAUUU